GCGUGCGAAUGUGUGAGCAUGUUUAUGACAACAAAACCACCCUGGGGCCCAGACCUGGAAGCCGUCAGCUAUGGAGGACCCUGGAAGCAGGCAGAGAAAGGUUUGGAGUUUUCAGUGCGAUGACACCAGCGUGCCUGCGGAAGUGGCUGUGUCUCCUCUUGCCUCCUUCCCCACCCAAUUCCGCCCCAGGAGCCCAGGGAUGGAGGCCCAGGAGACGGAUCCCACAAGAGCCAGCACCCACUCCACCCCAGGAGCUCAGCAAACAUCCACAGAGUGAACAUUCCAAGCAACAUAGUCCAGGAGCCACGUUCCAGCCAUGGGGCCUCUGCACUGCUGUUCUCUUCACAUGGCCUGCCCUUCCCCCAGAAAGAGAGAAGAGGCCCUCUCUGGUUGUCCCAUCAAAACUCCACCCUUCUCUCACCCUCCUCCCAGCUGUAUCCCUUCUCUGCAGCCCUAACAUGCAUUCCACUUUAUUUCCCUUGUCUACUGUCUGCCUCUCUAACUACUAAGUCAGUUCCAGCCGCUCCAGGAUUUUUGUCUUUUCAGUUUAGCCCUGGUUCCUCAGGGCCUUAGUGACUAGUGUGUAGUGCCUAGCAGCCAGUAGAUGCUCAAUAACUGCUUGCUGAUUGACUGGGGUGAGCUCCCCAUCCAUGGAGCUAUUUCAAGCCAAGCCUAGACGAUCUUUCAGGGCUAGUUCUAACCUAAGACUUGGUAGUUCCAUGACUCUCUUCCUGGCCCAGACCGAAAAGGAACUUUCAGCAGGAACCCGGGACUGGGAUCUGAGAUGGGGCUCCUUGGAGGACUCUGACUAGGAAGAGAGACGGGAGGCCGCACCAAAAACACAAGCCCUUCAUGGGUCUCCCAGGCGUAGGUCUGGGGAAUCCCCCAGGCCCCUCAGGAUCGACCCUGCUGGCCCUGGAUCUCCAGGACGCGUCCCUCUGACCUGCCUGCCCGGCCUGUGAGUCCCCGGCAGCAACCGCUGCAGACACAGGCUGCCCAGCGCCAGGGCCAGGCCGGAUUAUCAUACAUUAAGACAUAAUUACUCUGCGGAAAUUUACAAUACAAAGCGCCCUCCCCAAGUUGGCUUCAGAAGGAUUCCAAGGAUACAAAGACCUGCUGUGUCUGCCACCGACCCAAGCUGGCCCCAGCCAGAAUUUCAAAAGAAGUGGGUGGGUUAGUUUUUGGAAAAACCCCAUUCUACCCUCCAGGCAGAAGCCCCGCCCCAAGGGUAGAGCCCUCUGAUACCCCAAGCCCCACCCAGAGGGGAGGGUCCCCUCCACCCCGACCAGCGUUGCUCCUAAACCACUCGGGUUCCCCCAAGCCCAGAAGCUCCAAGCUGACACCACCAAGGUCACCCCACUUCUCCCAAGUUCUCUCUUUUUAGACUAUUUAGGCCUAAGGGCAGAAAGAACCUUAAAUCCCAAGAUGCUAGCUUUUGACCUGCAGAGAGGUGUGGCAGCCCACUGACAUUGAUUAAGCGCCUGCUGUGUGCCUGGUACUGUGCCAGCAUCAGGAUGCCACAGAGAACAAGACAAACCAGAUCGCUGUGCUGGGGGGAGCUUACAGUCCAGUUGAGGAGACGCAGUAAGAUGCUAAAAAAAAAAAAAAUGCACAUCAGGUGUGCAGGAUGGGUGAGUGACCGGGGUGCACGGUGGCCAGAGAGCCUCAAAGGUGGCAUCUGAGCAGAGGCCUGAAUGAGCAAGAGAGACUAGCCUGUGCAAAGGCCCUGAGGUGGGGCCAUGUGUGGUGAGGGGUAGUGGAGGCAGAGAAUGCUGGCUUUUACUCUCAAGAGGGUUUCCAGCAGGGAAGCUGCCUGAUUCGGGGGACACUUGGCCUGCUGUUCUGUUAGAUUCCUGCAUCUACCACCUCCUGGCCCUGGGAUGCUGGGCAAGUCAGUUAGCCCUUUAAGCUUUUGUUCCUCCCUGCAAAAUAAAAACAGUAACCACAGCUAACACACGCUUGUUGCACAGAACAAGACAGAGAAAGUCGGGAAAGGGAGGGCCAUGCAUGUGAGGGGCGGGGGAGAAGCUCUCUGAGCCUUAGCUGCCCCACAUGUGAAAUGGGAACCAGCCCCUGCCAACAGAAGGACUAAAGGCCCAGUGACUUGUGCCUCUGUCGUCUGGGGAGCCCAGGCACUUGGAGCCUGGCGUUCGGGACAGGCUGCCACCGUUAUCCAUGGCAUUCAGGUGAAAACGCUGAUGAAGGGGUAAUUUAUCCCUCCAGCCAUAAAACCUGGGGGAAGCCGCACAGCAAGCAGCUGUCCCGGUGCCGCCCUCCCAGGUGUCAGCGCACAAUAUCUGGGGCGGCUCAGGGGGUCCUGGGGAGAGGCCCUGCCAAUCUCCUCCAGCCUGCUGGGUGCCAGCCAGAGUGGAGAGCUGGGAGGGGCCGGAAUUCAACGGAAGAACUGCAGGCCUUUCAGCAGCCUCCUCGCAGGAGAACAAAGGCUGCAGCCUCCCAACACCAGGUGGCUGACAGCAAAGAAAGAGGCUCAGAGAGGGGAAGCAACUUGCCUGGAGCCACACAGCGCACAGCAGCAAGCCGGGCUCUGCAAAGGCACGGCCAUCGGGCAUCAGCACCUGUACUGCUGACUGGCUUGGAAGGCUCAGCUCAACUGAGAAAUGCAAAAUGCUGGAGCCCCUGGAGGACUGGAGUGGAAAAGGGGAAACCUGGAACCCAAGCCUUUAUCUGCCCUGCUGGGGUGGGGGACCCGGGCUUCUUCCUAAAACUCCUGGGCAAGGGUAGAAAGAAACAUCAGUUCCUGAGUCAAGGGUAGAGCCAGGCCACCCCUUCCUAGGAUGGGUGAUCAGGACCUGCCGGGUGACCCUCGACCUCUGUGCCACACUCACCCUGGGCAGGUGACUGUGCCUCUCUGGGGUCAGCCCCUCCUCUGUGAAAGGGGGAUAAUCGCAGCGCUGCCUCCUGGGCUAGUGCGAAGGAGAAAUGAGCCCAUGCAGGUACUGCAUAGAGUAGGCGCUCAAUAAGCUUCAGCUCUGGCUAGCCCAGGAUGGAGGACUCUUUGGAUGUCCUCCAGCUGCUGGGUGGGGUGGUGGGGUCCUUGUCACAGCAGACCUGCCCUGGCUGGCCCUGAAGCACUUCCUCCACCACCCUUGCAGGGACAGCAGAGAAAAACCCAAGUGCCCCGAAUGCACACCCCACUUCCCUGAGAGGACCGCGUCCUCCCUCCUCGAGGUGAUCACCACUGGGCAGGCUGGGCACCUCCACUUUCUGGGACCCCAACUUCAAGGGCAUCAGCCACCACCUACCAUGAAGAGAACCGCAGAGGAGAAGACCUGCCUCUGCCCCUGGCCGGGUGCCCAGGGACGGUCAGCUCACCUCCAGGACCCCAGCGUCCUGACUGUGAUGCCCCUGGCCGGGUGCCCGGGGAAGGUCAGCUCACCUCCAGGACCCAAGUCCUGACUGUGAUGCCCCUGGCCGGGUGCUUGGGGAUGGUCAGCUCACCUCCAGGACCUCAGCGUCCUGACUGUGAUAAUCAAGACAGGGUCACCUAAAGCCCCCAUGCAGGGCCUGCAUUCAGGGAAGGGCCUGCCUGCUCUUGUAAACCAGGCAGUGUUGCAAAACUGGGGUGGGAGAAGCUGUGAGAGCCCAGUGAUGACCCAGGGUCCCCGUGUCUAAUCCACAGGCUUUGCAGUGGCAAAGCAAGACAGAAGCACCAUGAUCCCCAAGGACACACCAGGGCAUCAGUCCCCAAGCAAGCCUGGAACCCAGAUUUGCAACCCCAGGACACAACUGCUUUUAGUCCCUCCUGGACACUUGGGAAAGAAAAGCGUUUCUAAAACUCUACAUCAAGAAUAGGUGACCCUUCAAAAAAUGCCCCGUAAUACCCAUAACAUACCCCUGCUCUUGGCAGGGCUUAGUUAGGAAGAAAGGGUCUGGGGACAGCUUCUCCCGGGAGAGCAGACAGUCAAUUCGGGACUUGCUAGAGGAAGACAUGCGGCCCAGAUGUCAGGUGAUCCGAGCUCCAGCAUCUACCCCAGGCCUCUAGCAGAGACCAAUAAGGACGUCUAGGCUCCAAAAGUGUGGAAGGGGCAGCGUUUGGCUUCCCUUCGCUUUUCAAAAGCAAGCCCACCUCUAUGCUCAUUUCAAAGUCCUUCGUUAAGAGAUAAACUAUUUCCUCGUAGAGUCUGGAAAACCCAUUUAUUUUCAAAUUCCAGUUACAUCGGAGACCAUGUCCCUUUAAAUGUGCCUUUCCCUCUGGAAUCCAAGAGACUCCGAAGCAUUUGGUAAUAUUGUGUAUUAAGGACGCACCAUAAAAAUAAAUUGCAUUGUAAAAGCUGGCCUCUUAACAGACAACCUUAGCUCCAGGGUUAAAUGUCUAAUUCCAUACUAUUACCCAGAGAGAGAUCAGAUAAAUCAAAGGGCACCGGUAUUCCUGGCCUUGCUCCUGUGGGCCUCUGGCCUGGCACAGAAUGUGUUAAGCAGGGCCCAGGAUAAGAAACCUCUUCCAGGUAAUACUCCCCCGUCACUGCUCUAACACCAGGAGCACCUUCAAAACCAAAUGCUCCCAAAGACAGCUGUCAGACACAUUAAAAAACAGGAAGGGGAAAAAAAAAAAAAAAACAGAAACGAGGCAGCAUACCAAAUGCCAAAAUAUAAUGAAAAUUCAACAGCUAAAACAAAUAUAACCAUAAAAAGACUGGAAUCCUAGAAAAGCGAUCUCUACAAUUAAGCAGUUUUCUGCUAUAUAGUGAUAAUCACCUAAUUAUACUAUUAAUGACAGUUCAACCUGCUUUGAAAUAAAAGGACAUUCUUCCAUAACAGGAUGCCAGCUGUUAGUUACAGAUGUCAAACAUCUUUAAAGCAUUAUUAUUAAGGGGGAGGAAAAAAACCCUAUAAAAUGAACACAUCCAUAUGCCCCUCCCGCCCGUCAUGAAAAAGAAAUCGCAAUUAGCCGUGUGUUUUUGCAGUGCCCAAGUGAAAAAAUAAAAAUAAAAUGUGAAAGCCCAAGGAGGAGAUCAGAAAAGAGGGGAGACGAGAGGGGAGACGAGAGGGAAGCCGGUCCCCACAGGGCACACAGCACCAGAGCGAAGCAAGGAGGGGUCUGUGUGUAUUUUAACGGCAUCCUUAAUUCCUUCCAAUGAAAUAAUCUCCGGAACCAGGAUGUUUAUGCCGGAUAGCAGAUCUCCUAGAUUCCGCCAGAACUCCCCGGGUAAACACAAAUCCUGGAGUGCCUCGUUUGAAAGCUGCUCGCCACAGCCAAAGCUGGGAGCACCGCAGGUUGCAGAGGUGGCUGCCACCUGCCUGCCCUGGCCCUGUGGACAUAUGCUCAGCCUCAUUCCCUGCCAGUAUUUCUUCAAACUGUGCGUGCCUCUGACAUUCUGUAGCGCCAAGGUGUGAUAAAUAUCCAACUUUGUCUUCUGACAAUAGGCAGCCACAUUUAAUUAACUGGAGCGUAAAAAGCCGGGGGGCGGGGGAGAGGGGGAGCGGGGAGCCGCUCCCCAGCGAGGGGAUUAACCUUUGAAGCAAGCCGCUGGCAGGGCAAGGGGGCUGCCCGGCCUUGUCGGGAGGGUGCGAAGACAAGCUGGCUCAAUCUAAAGAGGGGACGCUCAGGGUUAAAUCCCCCGCCUGCCUGGAGCGCAGAUCCCAAUAUAACCAGGGCAGGCUCCAGCAGGGAGCCCCCAAGGGUCCGUGACCGAUGCCUGCUGCCUCCCACCCUGGCUGUAGCUGGGUGAGGAGGAGACCCAGGGGACCUGAAGCACAGGAGGAGACCAGCCAAAUCUCAGCAGAGCCACCAGCGGACAGGACACAGUGUUUUCCGAAGGAAAAAAAACAUCUGGCACAUUCCACACCAGCGCCUUCUUGGGCUCUUGGCAUCACAGCCCAGGUGUCCUCUGGAGGCCGGGCGGAGAGGCCCAGAAAGGAAUGACCUAGGCCCAGAAAGGAAUGACCUGGCUUUGGGUGUGUUCUACGAGGUCACUUCCUGUAGCUUUCUGACCCCGGGGCCUCGUCCGAGGCGGAAGGGACAACUUCGCAGAGUUCGGCUACUGCUGACGCGCAGGGAGUAAGCCUCGGGUUUUGAUGGGAUAGCAGACAGGUGGAUUGCAGAGCUCCGGAAAGACCCAGCCGGGUGUCAAGAAGAGCCCUCCUAGUUUGGCCUCUAACUGGCUGUGUGACCCCAGGCAGGUCACUUGUCCUCUCUGGGAAGCAGCUGAAUAAUGAACACUGGGAUUUUCCCAGGCUGGCUUCUCACUGCAGAGCAGAGGAAAAGCAUUCUGGGGGCCUGCUAUGGAGGGUCAUUUAUCCAGUUUACAACUUCCACGGCCGGCCCUCAAUGGCUUCCUUUCUCUCCCACAAGAGCGCUGGGCCAAGCCAGCUCUGCACCAGUUGGACGCCUUCCAAGAAAAACUCAGGCUCCGGGGGCUGCUUGUCAGGACCAGACGGGAGGCCUGGCGCCCCCGCCCGCCAUGUGUGGGGAGCGGGCCUCUCCCAAGCCAGUCCCCGCGGGGGCUGAGCUGAUGGGAUGUCCUGCUUCUUCUCUGGCCAAAGAGACGGCGCCACGUCUGCCCGAGUUCUCCUGAAAUUCCCACACAAGGAGGGUGGCAGCUGUCACCUGCCCUUCCCAGCUUUGGUCUCUUUUUCUAUGGAAUUCAGCUUUGGAAAACAUUUUCUUGAGUUCCCAGGAAGUUCCCCAGAAACACAGGGAGGACACUCACUCACAAUAACUCCAAUCUGAGGCAACUGGUGGCCGGAGGAGGAGAAAUGCUUCCCGGGCCCAGACUGGCACAAACCAGUGCGCCUGCCGGCUCCCCCUCCGGACGCGCCCACUGUGAUGGCUGGGUGUUGCUAUUAAUAGCAGCAAUGAAAGACAUCAUUCAGCUCCUUCAAGUUUCCAAAUAAAAUACGCUACUUGAUACAGAAAACCAGCAGGACCCCAGGACACAGCUCCACUUCACAGCUGGGAAAACUGAGGCUCAGGAAGAGAGUCUGGCAGUUCCUCAAAAAGUUAAAUAGACUUACCAGAAGGUGCAGCAGUCCCACUACAGAUACAUGCCCAAGAGAAAUGAAAACAUACAGACACACAAAAACAUGCACGCCAGUGUUCACAACAGCAUUAUUCGUAAUAACCAAAAAGUAGAAGCAAGCUGAACGUCAUCAACAGAUGCAUGGAGAAACAGAACGUGGUCUAUCCAGGCCAGGACAGACGACUUGGCUAUGAAAAGGAAUGAAGUACUAGCCCAGCACAGUGCAGCGCACCCGUAGUCACCGCUACUCAGAAAGUGAACAUGGCUUGAGUCCAGGACUUCGAGGCCAGCCUGGACAACAUAGCAAGACUUCAUCCUUUAAAAAAAGAAAGGGAUGGGCCGGGCGCAGUGGCUCAAGCCUGUAAUCCCAGCACUUUGUGAGGCCGAGGCGGGCGGAUCACCUGAGGUCAGGAGUUUAAGACCAGCCUGGCAAAUAUGGCAAAACCCUACUAAAAAUACAAAAAUUAGCUAGGUGUGGUGGCGUGCGCCUCUAAUCCCAGCUACUCAGGAGGCUGAGACAGGAGAAUCUCUUGAACCCAGGAGGCGGAGGUUGCAGCAAGCAGAGACAGCGCCACUGCACUCCAGUCUGGGCGACAGAGGGCUGCCGGCCCUCUGCAUGUGUGAUUCCUCUCUUGCAAUGCCCUGACUUGAUCAUCUGCAGGUUCUCCAAAGUGGGCCUUCCUUUAGGUAAUAGACAAGGCCCCACACCUCUUCCAGAAAGCCCACAAUGACCCCUUGGCUCCCCUUUCCCGGAUGAGGUCCUGGAGCAGCAGGGGCCCCUAGGGUUGGGGGAGCCCUCGGAAACCGAGGGAGGAGAACUGGGUUCCGGAGCAGCCCCUGCUGGGUUCUAAGCAGCCCAUCCCAGGCACAUCAUUUAACCUGCUCUGGAAAAGAAGGCAAGGCACACUGUGCUCACACACAGCCUGGUGUGUGUGUGUAUGUCGUGUUGUGUGUUGUGUGCACGUGUAUGUGUGUGCGGUGUGUGUGUGGUGUGUGUGGUAUGUGGUUGUGUGCAUGUGGUGUGUGUGAUGUGUGUUGUGUGUGUGGUAUGUGCUGUGUGUUGUAUGUGCUGUGUGUGUGUGGUGUGUAGUGUGUGUGGUGUGUUUGUGUGUGGGGGUAUGUGGUGUGUGUGGUGUGUGAUUGUGUGUUGUGUGUGGAGGGGUAUGUGGUGUGUGUGGUGUGUUGUGUGGUAUGUGGUGUGUGUUGUGUGUGGGGGUAUGUGGUGUGUUGGUGUGUGUGUGGUUGUGUGUGGUGUGGUGUGUUUUGUACGUGUGGUAUGUGGUGUGUGCGUGCUGUGUGUGUUGUGUGUGUAGUAUGUGGUGUGUGUGUAGUAUUCAGUGUGUGUGUGGUGUGUUGUGUGUGGUAUGUGGUGUGUGUGUGUGCGUUGUGUGUGGUGUGUGUGUGGUAUGUGGGGUGUGGGGGGGUGUGGUUGUGUGUAUGGUGUGUGGUAUGUGUUGUACGUGUGUGUGUGUGCUAUGUGUUCUACGUAUGCAUCACUAGACACUAGUACUGAUGUCCUCCAGGGUCCACCUGGUCCCCACAUCCAAUACCACUUGACAAUGGAAACCACUCCUUCCUUCAUGAAACUGCCACUUGGUGGUUUGUGCCCCCACGCCCAACUCACUUCCCCAUUUCAUGGACAGCCACCGUCUCUCAGAUUCCAAACAUGUCCCUUGCUGCCAGCUCCUCCCUGGGCCUGGCCACCGACAGGGACCCUCUGCAGCCUGAGCUCCGCCAUGGCCUCUGCCCCCACGCCUCUGCCUCCCUUGCUGGGGCCUCCUGCAGUCUCUGACCUGUUUCUCCCCCUCAGUCCUUCCUGUGUUUAAUGUCAAAAGGUCAGUCAGUCAGGUCCCUGCUCCAGGUCCCUGUGGCCCCAAACACGGCAAAGACCUCCCCACUAGGCUCUCAAGAGCCUCCCCGAGAAGACCCGGUGACGCUCCCAGGCCCGUGCCAGUAUCGCUCCGAGGAUUGCAGGCCCAGCCUUCCAGCUUCUGGGCUGAGGACUGGCACGGUCCGGUGGAACUUUCUGGAACAAUGGAAAUGCUCUCUAUCUGCACUGUCCGACUGAGCAGCCUCCAUCCGCACGUGGCUGUUGGGGGCUCAAGAUGGAGCUGCUGUGAUUGGGGCACUGAAGUUUUCAUUUUCUUUAAUUUUGAUCAGUUCAGUUUUCAGGUCUGAUAGCCACGGAUCUAUGCUAGUGGCCACCACAUUAGGCGGUGCAGGUCCAGUGCCCUGGCUAUCCAAUGUGAGGCCUCUGGGCCAGCAGCACUGAUGCCGCCCGGGCCUUGGAAGGGUGCACGUGACUCCGGGGCUCAAGGGAGGGAAGUUCCCCUGUGCCUUGUUAGAAAGGCAGAGCCUAGGGCCCCUCCCAGACCCGCUGAAUCCGAACCUCCCCUUUAGCAAGAUCCGGGUCACUGGAGUACACAGUACAGUUUGUGGCAUGCUGAGAUAAAAACCACUCUCCUCUUCACACCUCCCCCACCUUCCCUUUUCAAAAGUAACCAACGCUUCAGAAUCUGCUUCAAGCACCACCUCCUGCAGGAAGUCCUCCCAGAUCACUCCAGCCAAAAGGAAACUUUCCAUCCUCCAAGCGCCUGGAGUUACCUGUAUCCUUCCAACCCCCAGAAACUUGGAGUCAGUGGCUUGCGGCUGAGCUCCUGCCUCCUCCGGCGUCCGGCAGGGUCUUCGAGAGAAUCCUGUGACAGACUUUCCACCCUCCCCCUCAGCCCCUCCAGGGCCUGGCACCAACAGGUGCUCAGGAACUGCCCUGGCAGUUGCACUUGCAAGAAGCCAACGUCUCUUUCCAAACCAGGGCAAGGAGAACAAAGUUGGUUGCGGGCUAUUUGCGUUCCUAUUCCUCCCACGCGGCUCACCCCACCGGUCUGACCCGCUGGCCACCUCUCUCCGAGAGCCCUAGAACCUGGGAGGUGACAGGGCCCUGAGUCAAAGGCAUCAAAAUCAGAUGAAAAGCCAGGCAGGUGGAGUUAUGGGUUUCAAUAGCCAAAUAAAACCGCACAUGCUUUUCAUGACUCUCUCUGCAGGCUGGGAUCAAGUGCCACGACUUUGUCACACAGCAGGUGUCAGUUCUCGAAGUGCCUGCCAGCAGGCCACUUGCGGGAACCCCCAAAGCCCCAGAGAAUCCCUGGCAGAGGCGGGUCAAGGGCCAGGUCUUUCCUCUCCCCAUUGCACUCCCUCUCCUAAGCACAGACUUGACAGCCUCUCACAUGCUGGGAGGCUCUGAGGACCUCCUCCAGCACCAAGGUCCUUGAAGAUGGACACUGACCAAGGGCCAGGCCCAUCCAGAACUCCCCCCACCUUGGAAGGGGCCCUCAGAACCAGCCUGUGUGCCUAGGACUCUGGCAGGCAACCUCUCAUUCCAUCUGGCCACUCAGCUAGCCCGACGGCUGCUUCUCCGAAAAGCUCACUGCAAGAAGUGGCCAGUUCAGCCUGGGAACUCAGGGCCGCAACUGUAUCUUGGCUCUAAUCCCGGAAGCCACCAGAAACCUCACUUUUCUCUGUCCUCCUCCGACAGAGGCGGGGAUUGAAACCCCCACCUCCACCCCCUAGGGCUCAGGCAGGAAGUGGCCUCAUCUCCACACAGAGGUGGGCGGUCUCCAGGGCUUGUAUUACAAAUGGGUCUGUCCAGGCGGUGGGCAGGUGCAAGGCCCCCCGGAGAGACUGGCAAAGCCCACACAGGCCUGAUGCAGUGCAGAGGCUUUCCCCAACGCACGCCACGGCCACAGUGUAGUAAACUCUUCGGUUCCUGAGAAGCAGGGAAAACACACGUAACACGAGACGGCAGUCAUCCGCAUAUACCCGUGUGUGCUGGCACUGAGCUAGGGAGUCCCAGGAGGUCCUGCGCUGGAGCUUCUCUCCCAGCAGGAAAUCCAGUGAUGAUGACGAUCACACAGACGAUAAUACCAAGAGCAAGUCCGCCCUUCCUGACAGCCUAGACACCACACUAAGCUCUUGAAAUGUACAAAGCCUUUUAAUUCUCACAGCAGCCUCAGGAAAAUUAUCCUCCACAUUUACCACCCAAGUAAACUGAGGCCCAGAGAGUUUCAGUAACUUGCCCACAGUCUCAUACACAAGGACUCAAGGCGGAGCAAGAAUUCACAUCCGACCACUUGGCCCCCAGGCCCAGGGGCUCAGCUACUAAAUAAAGAGCUACAGUGGUAGGUCACGGUUGCUUACUAUCUACCCAAGAGCACAGAGCAGGGAGCGGCCACUCCUAACAGGAGUGAGCACUGACCGUUCCCAGACACCUGGGCUCAGCGCUCUAGGCAGCAGGAACAGCCUGGCCAAAGGUGUGGAGGACAGGUAGAGAAGGGCAGGCUAGAGUGUUAGGCAGGGUUGGCCCUGUCGGGGAGAAAAGGAUCCCAGCAGAACCAUCUUGGAAAAAAUGCAAACUUACUAUUUCAAGAAGGCUUGAAUUUGGGAGGAGGCUCCGUUGCAUGCCACCCAGAAAGUGACCUCAAUGACACUAACCAUGAUCAUACUCCAGAACCAAAGAUUAUCUGUUAAAGGGACUCAUUUCUAGGGGUCUCCAUCCUUCCCAGGAGGCUCUAAGAGGGGAGUAGAGGCAGAGAAGUGGGAGCUUCCGGCUCCUUCUGCACAGACGUCACCCUCAUCCACAGCAGCUCCAAAGUGAGAACAGACCGCUGUGAACCCAGGGUGAUCCAGGGGGUCAAGAACCCUCUGAUUUCUGCUCCCAUCUUGAGCUGGCCCCAGCCCAGCCCUGGUCGAGCUUCAACUUUGCUAAUGAGCUGUGAGUUACCAGCCCCACCUCUGGACCAAGAAACUAAGGGAGUGAAUGGGGAAGGGUUUCCCAAGAGCCUCCGCCCUGGGUAAUAAGCCCGUAUCUGGGUCACGAGGCUGGCUGCCUGCUCUAGCCACUGAUCAACCAACCCUGUACUGAAGUCAACGAUGAAUAUUCAUGAGCCUAUCCAGUUCCACACUUUCAUUUCUGGCCCAAAUUAAUAAUUUACCAUGGAGUUUCAUAAAAAUCAGACAUAGCUCAUUAGUAGCUCCCUAAAAGGCACUCCCAUCUUCCCACUGAUCCAGUGAGGGGCCCAUCUUGCCUCUGUGACAAGAAACAACACCCUUAUUUUCAGAGACAACCCUCACUAUUAUUUUCAGAGGGCUGGCGAACCUGAAAUUGGGGGCCGCCAUGACUGUGGAGGCCCACCCCGGAGGCCUACCAGCCUCCCCACCAGGGCACAAAGACCUCUGCCCUCAAAGCUCCAUGUCACAGGUCUUCAGGAAACUCCAGAAGCAGACCCUGGAAGAAGAUGGAACCUCUUUCCUUCCUCAAGGCAAGGCUACCACUCUCUGGAAACACAUACUUCACAGAGGAUGUGGGUGGGUGGAGCAUGUGUAGCUGAUGACAUUUUCCAGAGAGGAAACAUCAAUUGCAUCUCCCAAACCCCAUGCCCUUCUAGAAGGGUACCAUUCCCCCAUUAAGAGGUGGAGCCCAGGCCAGGCACAGUGGCUCGUGUCUGUAAUCCUAACACCACUGGGAGGCUGGGGCAGGAGGAUCACUGGAGCCCAGGAAUGCGAGAUCAGCCUGGGCAACAUAAGAAGACUCUGUCUCUACAAAAAAAUUUAAAAAUUAGCCAGGUGUGGUGGUGCAUACGUGUGAUCCCAGCUACUUGGGAGGCUGAGGCAGGAGGAUCACUUGAGCCCAAGAGGUAGAGGCUGCAGUGAGCUGAGAUCGCACCACUACACUCCAGCCCGAGCAACAGAGCGAGACCCUGUCUCAAACAAACAAAAAGAGAUGAAGCCUAACUCCCCUCCAGUUGAAAAUGGGCAGGCUUGUCCCUCACUUGCAACCAACAGAAUGUGGUGUGGUACAGCCUUCCCUCCGAGGCUAGGCCCUAAAAGGCCGUGCAGCUUUCCGCUUGUGAGCUGGGACCACUGCCUUCGGAGCUCUGGGGCCGCCAUGUUUUGAGGAAGCUCAUGCCACACUGAGGGGCCACGAGGAGGCGUCCCAGCGUUGAGAGCCCCGGCUGCGGUCUGGCGAACAGCCAGCACCAACUGCCAGGCCUGAGUGAGAGGAGCCUUCAGACGACUCGGGACUCUGCACAGCAAAUCACCUUGCCUCCCAGUCUUCCCAGCUGAGGCCCCAGGUGUAGCUGGGCAGAGACCGGCUCCACCCCACCACACCCUUUCUGAAUUUCCAACGCACAGCAGCUGGGAGAAUAAAACGAUGUUUUAUGACCACACACUUGCUCAUGAAGUCUUCCUCCAUGCCAGGAGCCCUGGUCCCCUGCAGACCCACCCACCAGCCGCCCCAUCCCCUCCCCCGCAACGGUUGGUCUGACCUGCCCACCGACAGGCCGGCACCCUGUGGUGAGUGCUGUCAUAAAGACAGCACAGGCGGUUGAAAUCCGCCUGUGAGUGAAACUUUCCAGGAGAGAAAUUGGGCGGAGGGGGGUGGGGGUGGGGGUGGGGGUGGGGGUGGGGGCGGGAGUAACACCUUGUCCCUGGGCCCUUAAGAUCUAAGAUAAAGGCCGUGACACUUCCGACAGUGACACAGGUUCUUGGAGCGGGUGAGAGGCCUACGUGACCGCCCCCUACUGCCCAUGCAGUGGCCGGCCCUUCCGCUGCGGCCCCUCCACAGCAAGUUCAAUUAAGACCCCGCCAUUCUCUCCUCCUCCCUUCUUUUAUGUUCCCUGCCGGCCCCCCUUUCUCUUGUCAGAUAAUCACGGGAAACCAGCAAACGGUUGACACAGUUACCAAGACGACAGAAGUUAGGACCAGCGAGGAGGUCUGAAAGCUAAUCCUAAAUGAAUUACAGGACAAGAAUGACAAGAGGUGGGGAGGGUUGGGGCCGGUUCAAAGGCCCCAGAGUCUGAGACAAGGUGCCAUCGGCCUCGGGGCACUGGCUGUGGGCCUGUCACUCACUAAGGGUGACACUGAAGUCUUCUGGGGUUGGGGAGGUGGAAGAAGAAAUCUAUAACAAAGAAAUUCUCCGCUGAGGCCGGGCUGGCCAAUAGCGCCCUCCAUCCAGUGACUCCUGGGGCCCAGGGUUCACCCAGUUCGGCUUUCCUUACAUGGGACGCAGUGGAGAGAGGGCCAGGACGACCUCACCAGGACGAUUCCGUUUCUUCUUUACUUAUUCAGAACUUGCCGCCUUGUGACCACGGCGCUGUGCGUGGCCUGGGCUGGCGGACAGCCAUUUCAGGAGUCUGGGCUUCUCAAAGACCCUCCCUGCCCAGCCCACUGCCUCCACCAGGAGUGACUUGGCCAGGUCUCCCAGGUGGGGUCCCCCUCUUCCAGGUCAUUCUCAAAUCCAAGAUAUGGACGGCGUGCAGCUGGGAGCAUGACAGCUGGGAGCUAUCAACCCAAAUGGUAAUUGCAGCUCAGGGUCCUACAGCGCUUGGUCCCUCCCUUCUGCCAGUUAACUCAUCGAACACUGUCAGCAGCCCCAGGAGGCAGGCUCCGCUACUGGCCCCAUUUAGCAGAUGAGAAAACAGAGAUCCAGAGAGGGUAAGGAACCUGCCCAGAGUCACACAGCCAGUAAGGAGCAGAGGCAGGAUGGAACCCAGUGCUUAGGCAGCGCUGCAGCCUCAGAAAAGCCUGCUGCCCUGGAACCCACAGGGCCCACCAGAAGACUGGCAAGGACACCCGGGGAACCCUCGCCAUCGGGACCCAACUCCUCCUGGAGCAUGGCCGAGACCCAGGGUCCCUCCUGCUUCUUCUCACACCUUCUCUCAGGCUUUGGCCUGGUUCGAGCACCGCUCACCCCACAGCCUGCUCUCAAAUCUCCUGCUGGUGUCCAGGGUCAGGUGAAGGGGUCAGGCCUGUUCUCUCACUCCAGUGGGCACUGGCAUCCCCAGGAGGGCUCAUGAACAUGCAGACUCCACAGGAAACAGCCUUGGCACUCGCUGCCCUGGCUCUCUCACCCUUCCCCUUCUCUCCAGAGCUUCCCUCGAGGGACCCUUCGCCAUGGGCCCCUCGCCGGUGUGGGCACUGCACGAGGAUGCAGCUCUGGGGGCUUCUCAGGGGCAUCUCCCUGUGCCUGGCCUGCGCUCCCUCUACACGUGUUAAACAAGCACAGGGGGUUGGUUGGUGGUUUUUUUGUUUUUUUUUGUUUUUUUUUUUGAGACAGAGUCUCACUCGCUCUGUCACCCAGGCUGGAGUGCAGUGGCACCAUCUCGUCUCACUGCAACCUCCGCUCCCAGGUUCAAGUGAUUCUCCUGCCUCAGCCUCCUGAGUAGCUGGGAUUACAGGCACGCACCACCAUGCCCGGCUAAUUUUUUUGUAUUUUUAGUAGAGACGGGGUUUCAUCAUGUUGGUCAGGCUGGUCUUGAACUCGUGACCUCGUGAUCCACCUGCCUCGGGUUCCCAAAGUGCUGGGAUAACAGGCGUGAGGCACCGUGCCCGGCCAAGUUGGUCGCUUUUAAGAACCCAGGUUCCCACUCACUGACAACAGAAUCGAGUUCAUGUGUCACCGGCUUGAUGACAUUCAAGACCCUCUUAAGACGUGGCUCCGACCCACUCCCCGGCUUCAUUCCCACACUUCACCAUCCCCUGGCCACACUCUCCCCACCCCUAAACUCUGGGCUCUGCUUCCUGCCAGAAGCUGUGAAGGGGCCCGUCCGCCACACUCCCGCACGCCUGGCUGUCUGAGGACAAGGACUGGGCCUAAUGCAUCUAUCUCUCUGGCCUGCAGAGCCUGGGAGGAGCAGGGAACAGAUUUGACAGGCACAGCUACCCCUUCCGCACAGGCUCCCUCUGCCUGCACAUUCUCUCCUACUGUUCCUUGGCUUCUGGAAAGGGCCCUGCUGCCGGACACCCUCUGGUCCCCAUGGUGCCUCUGAAGGACGCACAGGCUUCAGAGCCCCACCCCUAGAGGGUGCUGCUGAGCAACGGGGCAGGAGUGGUGGCCUUCCCUGCCAAGUCCCCACUGGUGAGGAAUGUGGGUUUCCCCAGAGUAGAAAGGAGAGCUCAAAUGUCACCUCCGCUCUGUGGCCUUCUUGGACACAGCCUUCACCCCCAUCUCAAACCAAACUGUUUUCCUCUGCACGCCCAGAAAAUUCUACACACACCUCUCAGCACCAGUACUUGUCACCCUGAUUACUCAAUCCAUGCCCCCCACACACCACCACCAACACCACAACGUGGGCAGGGAUGGCCCCAUGCCCAGCUCCCGGCACACCUGACAUGAACCUAAUGUGCUGAGUCUUGUAAGAGCAGUUUCCCUAUUUCUGUUCCUCCCUCCUCACUGUGUUAGCCUCCUUCCUCCCAGCCUCACUCACCUCGAAGCUCCAUACUUCCAAAGCCUGCUUUUAGUGCCACCUCCUCCAGGAAGCCUUCCUGGAUUCCCUCUGCCAGGAUGCUUCUAAGAGUUUCCAGAGCAAUCCAUCUGUGCUCAGCUCUCUGUUUGCUCCCUAAGUGACUUACAGAUAAAACAUAGAUCUCCUCUGCUGCUCCUGCCCAGUGGACUGACGCAGCGCAGUGCCCGGCACCCACUGGCGCAAGCCCUGCCCAGCUCACAGGGGGCCUGACGGGAGGUGCUUGGGAAGGGGAGGCUUGGUCUGUGUCCUCAGAGGACAGGACUAGGUCACAGGCACGUGUUCUGUGCGAAAAGCAACAACAUCCUAGCUCGCCACAGUGGCACAGCCCGGUCCAACCCAGGAGCAGGACCUGCACGUGCCCAGCCUGAGGUGACCACGAGACCCCCAAAUCCAGAGAAGGGAGGGACAGCCCGUCUGACCUCUGAGGUCCCUCCCAAGUCCAAUGUUCCGUGACUUCCUGACCCCACAGGCCAUUAAGCAAGCAGCCAAAUGCCCACUGGGCGGCGGUCCAGGCCUGGUCAGAGGGCGCUUCCUGUCUCACUGUGGGAGGGAGCAGAGGAUGGAGCUGCCCGGAUCCUUCAGGGCCUGGGCUUCCGGCAGGGCUGAGCUCCAGAAUGGGGUGGGAUCACCCUCUGGAGAUAAGACCUGGACCUGGCUUUACCCAAACCCCACCAGUGCCCUACUCCCGCAAUCCCCCAGCCCCAGCACCCACUCCCAGCUUCCAGCACAGCUGUAAUUGGGGCUGAGGGUAACGACCAGCGCCAACCCCAGCUGCGGAGGGCCUGGCAUGUGUGGGAAAAAGCCGGAAAAAUACAUUUUCCCCUAAAGACUUGUAAGAAAAUUCUCACUGAUUUUUUUUCCUUUUACCCCAAGCUUUCACAGCACUAAAUAUGCCACACUUAGUAAUUUUACGAGCAAACCAAACUAUACAUCACACGGUUUUAUGUUCCUAAAUUAACAAAAGGACUUUAAAUCUAUAUGGCGCUCUUAAAAGAAAAAAAAAAAAAAAGGAAGAGGAGGAGGAGGAGGAGGAGGAUACCAUGUGGAUGUUGAUUCCCUCACCCCCGAACUCCCUCUUCCCUUCGAAUACACGGUGCCCCUACAGCUUCAAAAUUUCUGCUGAUCCUGCAGCUAGACCACCAAAAGGGGACAAUCCCAGACAGGGACAAGGAUCUGUUUGGCUGAGGAGGUCCCCUAAGAGGGGAUCCCAUCAUCCUUCCUGAAAGGCCACGUUAAGGGCCACAACAGUCUAAUGAUUUUCCCACAAAGAGUAUGACAGGACGCAGCCUGGUUGAUGGAGAGGCUGCCUCUACCACCCUAGUCUCCCCAAAAGUCUAAGGAAGAGAAUUUGAAGUCAACAGGCCUGCGAGGUCUCCUGACCGCUGUGAUCUCAUCUACACAAUGCCAGGGUAGACCAGGUGACUCCAUCACACUUGACAUUGGUGAGAGGGAACCCCCCUGGGACCGCUCCCCCCAACACGUGUCCAUGUCCAGGAGGAAGAUGGGCAAGCGACACGGAGCACCAGGCUCAAAGCAGGAGGCCAAGUCCAGACACGUCCUCCCCUUCCCGGCUCUGUCCAGGAGCUGUGUGGCUUGGGCCACCUGCCGCUCCCACCCUGCACUUUCCCCUGCGUAGAAGGACACGCAUUCUUGCCCCGGAAUCCAGGUAACAUAAUGACCAUUUGCUCCCAGAGUACAAAGAAACCUCUUCUGUCUCCAGAGUCAAGGAGAUAAGAAGAGAGUUUCCAGCGGGACUAUAUCAGGUUCCCACCCAUGGCGUAACAACAACACAUUUAAGCAAGAAAAAAACCUUAAUGAGAACCAAAUUGGGCAGGGGGGGUGGGAACCAGACCAGGCCCCUCGGAAAAGGGCUGGGCUGCAGCUGGGACAAAAGGGCCCCUGGCUUUCCCAGCCGACAGAUGGAACCGUGGCGGCCUCCCCAUCUCUCAGGGGUAUCGGAAGAUUAAUUAGUGACUGCCUGGAAAGUGCUAGAUGGAAGCCGAAAUGCCUGUCCCCGCUGAGUUUCUGAGCUGUAAAUAAGCAGCUUUCUCAAUCACAACUAAAAUAGCCAUGUUUUCCUUUUAUCUGAGUCAGAUCCCAUUAGGCCUAACCUGCGCCCAGAGUGGGUCUUGGGUGGCUCCGGCGCCACAGCUAUGGUUUGCUAACGUCCCAUGACAAGCCUGAGGCUAUGCAAGACCUUGGUCCCUGCGGGUGCCCCGUCCCCGCCUCGGCUCCAAGCACCCUGGGAGUUGGGUUCCAGCCUGACCUCACCUCCAGACACCACCCCCAACCCAGGUGGGCCUGAGCCCCUGCCUCACACCUUGACUUUCUGGAAGCAGUUUAGAUGGGUGGGAAAUAGAACCCAGCGGCCCCCACAGGCCGAGCUUCACUCUGGGUACCCCAGCUCUCAGCAGGGGAAGCCUCAGCCUCCUGCAAGCCCCUCCCAGGAUGGUCAAGAAAGGGGCCUAGGACAGGCCGGAUGAGAUAUUUAUGACUUGCUCUGGCCUCCGGGGGCAGCUGGGGCCGGGGAAAUGUUCCAGGGGGACCCCGAGUCCUAGAGCAACCACCAGCAGGCUUCAUGGCUAUGGGCCAAGCCCCAGCUCUCUCUGGGCCUCAGUUUCCUCCCUGGAGGGCCGAGGGCAGCCUUUCUAGCAGUGGACAGUGAUCCUGAGGGAAGGCCAGGGUCACCCAGAGUUCAGUGUGGGGCUGGGGUGGGGUCAGCUGAUGGCUGAGGAGUCAGUCCUCCCUCCAGAAACGACAGGAACCAGAUAAGGGGCUCGGAGGGCGCCGCUGCCAACGCCAGCGGCCAGCUCCCACUCAACACAGUCAACAAAUAUUUAUGAAGCAGGGACUCUGGAGCCAGACUGCCCAGGAUCGGCGCCCUGCUCCACCAUUUAGCGCACAUGUGACCUCAAUCUCUCUGUACCUCAGUUUCCCUGGCUGUCAAGGGGGGUAAGAGUAGCCUCACCUCCAGAGCUGUUCUGAGGAAGCACCGUGUCUGGCGUGGAAUGGGAAUAGUAGACGAAGCAGCCACUGCCUCUUCCUCAUGAAUAAUUUUUUUUUUUUUUUGAGACAAGGUCUCACUGUCACCCAGGUUGCAGUACAGUCGUGGAAUCACAGCUCACUGCAGCCUCGACCUCCUGGGCCCAGGUGAUCCUCUCACCUCAGCCUCCUGAGUAGCUGGGUCUACAGGCAGGCACCACCACGAUCGACUAAUUGUUUCUGCAUUUUUUGUAGAGAGGGGUUCUUACCAUGUUGCCCAGGCUGGUCUCGAGCUCCUGGGCUCAAGUGAUCCACCCACCUCGGCCUCCCAAAGUGCUGGGACUACAGGUGUAAGAUACCUCGCCCAGUCCUCGUUAUUAUUAUUAUUUUUUUUAGGAUCGUUAUUACUGGCCCGGCACUGAGUCUGGUAAAAAGGAGACACCCAGUCUGCGCCAGCAUGGGGCUAGCAGCCUGGUGGAGUUCAGGAAAGGGGGGAUCUAGGCAUACAUACAUACAUACAGAGGAAGGUUUGAGAAGGGACCCCCGUUUGAAUUUCCCAGUCGCCCCAUUUGCAGGAAGGUGGAGGCCACAGCUUGUGCCCUCCCACUCACCAGCCCCAUCUCCUUUCACACAUGCCCCUGCACCUUGCUCUCCCUGCAGCCAGCAUCCCCUCACGGCUACCAUUUCCCCCUGGCCAGUGAAGAAGCACUAAGAGGCAGACGCUACAACCAUGGCGGCAAGAGGCCUGGUCCAAAGACAAGAGUUCAGGUCCCCACUAAGAAGCUCUAUGACUUGGCCAGGUGCGGUGGCUCACACCUGUAAUCCCAGCACUUUGGGAGGCCAAGGCAGGUCAAGAGAUCGAGACCAUCCUGGCUAACAUGGUAAAACCCCGUCUCUACUAAAAAUACAAAAAAUUACUUGGGCGUGGUGGCGCACUCCCGUAGUCCCAGCUACUUGGGAGGCUGAGGCAGGACAAUCGCUUGAACCCGGGAGGCGGAGGUUGCAGUGAGCCGAAAUCUCGCCAUUGCACUCGAGCCUGGCAAGAGAGAGAGACUCCGUCUCACAUAAAAAAAAAAAAAAAAAAAAAAGAAGAAGAAGAAAAAAAAGCUCUGUGACUUGCUGCAAAUAAUUCUACCUCAAUAACAAUAAUGACCGUGACAAAAUAAGAAUUAUUAUUAUUACAGUUAUCACUCGACAAGCGCUAACUUCAUCCCAGGCACCAUCUUCAGUGGACCUGCUCAUUCUGUUUCUUGCAACAGAGCGUGGGCAAACUUUCUCUGUCCAGGACCAGACAAUAACUAAAGAUUUUAGGCGUGGCCAGUCCAGAUGGUCUCUGCUCACAACUCAGCUUGGCCAUUAUAAUGUGAAAGCUGCCAGAGGAACAGGCGUGGCUGUGUGCCAAUCAAACUUGACUUACAAUGGGCCGGGCCAUGGAUUGCUGACCCUUGCCUUACACUGAUCCUGAGGGAGAUACAAUUAUGGAUCCCAUCUUACAAAUGGGAAAACAGACUCAAUUGAGAGUAUCAGUCACCCGCCCAAGGACACAGCUCAGGAGAGGCAGAGCCUGACUUCAAACCUACUGCCCAGCCUCAGUCCUCUCACCUGUCAAACAGGAGCAGCGGGUGCCUGAUGCCAGCCUGACUGUGAACUGCCCCUGGGGCAAUGGCUGGACAGGCGGGUUCUGGGCCCUUGCUCCCUGCAGUGUCUGGGAUCUGGCAUCAGGCAUAGAAACCAAGUCCAAGAGGCUGCAGAGCACCAUGGUGUCAGGCCUCUGUGGGGCAGGGUCAGCCUCUCAUCCAGAACCACAGGCCCGAAGCAAGCCAUGCUGGCUGCUGCACCUGGACCCCCUUAUUCCCAGUUCAGUGUGGCAGACAGAAGCCAGCUUCAUGUCCCAGCUCCGCCACUCCCAAGCUGGGCAAUUGCUGAGCCCCUGGGUCUCACUUUGCUCAUCUGAUAAGUGGGUGGAUGGCAGCAGCUACCUCAGAGAGAGGAAGUGAGAUCUACAGAGAGCCCACAAAGCAUUUGUAACAGGGCCUGAGAGCACUCAAGAGGACCAGGCCAGGGCUGGGCACGUAAAGCCUGUAAUCCCAGCCCAAGGUGGGAGCCCAAAGUGGGUGGAUCACCUGAGGUCAGGAGUUCGAGACCAGCCUGGCCAACAUGGCGAAACCCCAUCUCUACUAAAAAUACACAAAUUAGCCUGGCAUGGUCGUGGGUGUCUGUAAUACCAGCUACUCGGGAGGCUGAGGCAGGAGAACCUCUUGAACCUGGAAGGUGGAGGUUGCAGUGAGCCGAGAUCACACCACUGCACUCCAGCCUGGGCGACACAGCAAGACUCCAUCUCAAAAAAUAAAGAGGACCAGGCCACUGCCGUUUCCAUCACUCUCAAUGCGUUAACCCCAGCCCUGGGAAGCCACUCCCUGACCAUAGUUCUUCCCGGUAAGCCCUCACCCUGAAUAUUACACUAAGACAAUAAAGUGUAAAACCCCAGUGGGGACUUUAAAUACAACCACCAAAAAAACUAUAAUGCGGGGAAAGCCUGCAUCCACAGGCUGAGAUUUACUUGUGCCCCGACCUCCCCUCCCCUCACUUCUGACCUCUCUUAAUCUCCCUGGGGGUCAGGACAAAAGUCACCCCUCCUGCCUACCCACUGGGGGCUUUACUCCAGCCUGGGCUGAUCUUCCUUAAUGGCUUUGAAUUUCCCAGCCUGACACUUCCUCCUCCUCUUUCUGAGUCUCCCUGUGUAAACAGAAAAUCGGUCACCUGAUGAAUAAAUAUGCACCAGCAGCCUCCAGUGGCAGGUGAAGAGGGGUGUAGAUUACAAACACCUGUGCUUUGAAGACGCCCUGUACUUAAGAAGAUUCAUUCUUGGCACAAGCUGGUCCUGAGCGCCUCCAAGGCAGGCAUAGCUGCCGGGGAGGCACAAGCUCUCUGCUUUCCCCAGCCACAGACCCGGGGGGAGACAGACGAGAAAAACCCAGAUACAGCAUGAGGAUCUGUUUCAUUUUGGGCUAAAGGGCUCUGAUGAAUGUCAGCGCGACUCAGACCCAGCCCUCAUUUACCUGGAAUCUUCCCAUGGGAGAGAUAGCUCUGAGUUCCCAAGGGCUCACUCCGCCCUCCCCUUACAACCUUUAUUUUACUAAGUUGGGGAUUCCCGGUUCUAAUUUGGAUUGGAUCCGCUAGGGGAGGGAGGGAAAAGCGAAGCUUGCUGUUUGUUGUUGCUUUGCAUUUCAGGCAGAGGAGGAGAAAAAAAAAAGAUCAAGAAUGGAAUGGAAACGCUGGAAAAUAUUCAAUAUUCUUCCUAUCAAAACGGCAUACACACCAAGAAAAAAACAUAGACCUGGUCAGUUACUGGGAACUAAAACAGACACCACGAAACUCAAAAAGAGUAAAAGUACAGAUUUCCUCCAGGAGGAGUCUCUCCUGCCUUUUUUUUUUUUUUAAGUCAGUUGGACUCUGGUGACCCUCUGCCCUGCUCUGUUAACUCAGUGAAAACGUUUGCCCAGGUUAGGGCAGCAAAGGCCAGAUCCAAGGGAGCUGGGUCCUGUCCAGGCCCCUUCCUGCCCCACACGCUCCUCCUGGGGACUCCAGAGAGGUGUGGAAGCCUCAGCAAAAGUGACAGGAUCUUCUGAACAGAGGAAAAAAAAAAACCCGAAACCGAACACCGGGCCACGUGCACCCUUCCCCAGCAAAACAAUUCAGAAAUAAAGCUCCAGGGCAGCGUCUUCUGCAGAAUUUUAUAAAAGCCUCAACAUGGGAAAACUAGGAACUUCCCCUCUCCUCCCUACACCCCCACAUCACCCUCCCCACCCACACACACCCCACCUUCAUUAGGUACCGUGUGUCAAAGCUCAAGGGAGAUCAACUCGGAGGGAGGGAGGAAUAAAAUCAGCUCAUUCCUAGAACCAGCAGUCACACGCAGCACAGCCUUCCUGACCUGCGUCACGUGGCCCCACCUGGGGCAGGCCUGUGCGUUUCUCCCCGACCCCAGGGGGCACAGGAGUGGGGGUGACGGCGCGCGGUGGGGAAGAACCCUGGGGUUCACCACCCAGGGCUCCCUCGCCUGAAUUCCUGGAUCACCAGCUUCCAUGUAGCCUACACUUAAUUUUUUUUAAGGUUUAGAAAUCCAAAUAAGGUGAAUUCAGGAGGGGCUCCCCAAACCUCCAGCUGUCAACCCCCUCCCCUCCCCUCCCCUCCAGGCUGAAAGCGCGACUUGCCCCGAAACAGAAAGUUACAGGGCAAGCGGCUGUCACCGCGCAGGAAGGUUAAGGAAACAGGAAGCCACGCCAAAUACCC
RNAcentral lists this long non-coding RNA (23557 nucleotides) under Homo sapiens (human). RNAcentral describes it as "non-protein coding lnc-GINS2-2:4". The record is from RNAcentral. Lineage: Eukaryota; Metazoa; Chordata; Mammalia; Primates; Hominidae.